ACGGGAGGCAGCAGUGGGGAAUAUUGCACAAUGGGGGAAACCCUGAUGCAGCAACGCCGCGUGAGUGAAGAAGUAUUUCGGUAUGUAAAGCUCUAUCAGCAAGGAAGAAAAUGACGGUACUUGACUAAGAAGCUCCGGCUAAAUACGUGCCAGCAGCCGCGGUAAUACGUAUGGAGCAAGCGUUAUCCGGAUUUACUGGGUGUAAAGGGAGCGUAGACGGCAAAGCAAGUCUGAAGUGAAAUCCCGGGGCUCAACCCCGGAACUGCUUUGGAAACUGUUUAGCUAGAGUGCAGGAGAGGUAAGCGGAAUUCCUAGUGUAGCGGUGAAAUGCGUAGAUAUUAGGAGGAACACCAGUGGCGAAGGCGGCUUACUGGACUGUAACUGACGUUGAGGCUCGAAAGCGUGGGGAGCAAACAGGAUUAGAUACCCUGGUA
Molecule: ribosomal RNA, 434 nt
Filed under: uncultured Lachnospiraceae bacterium
Lineage: Bacteria; Bacillati; Bacillota; Clostridia; Lachnospirales; Lachnospiraceae
Description: partial 16S ribosomal RNA
Rfam family: Bacterial small subunit ribosomal RNA
Source: RNAcentral